Molecule: ribosomal RNA, 379 nt
Filed under: uncultured cyanobacterium
Lineage: Bacteria; Bacillati; Cyanobacteriota
Description: bacterial SSU rRNA
Rfam family: Bacterial small subunit ribosomal RNA
Source: RNAcentral
CGAAAGCCUGACGGAGCAACGCCGCGUGAGGGAUGAAGGCCUCUGGGCUGUAAACCUCUUUUCUCAAGGAAGAAGAUCUGACGGUACUUGAUGAAUAAGCCACGGCUAAUUCCGUGCCAGCAGCCGCGGUAAUACGGGAGUGGCAAGCGUUAUCCGGAAUUAUUGGGCGUAAAGCGUCCGCAGGCGGCCUUGUAAGUCUGUCGUUAAAGCGUGGAGCUUAACUCCAUUUCAGCGAUGGAAACUACAAGGCUUGAGUGUGGUAGGGGCAGAGGGAAUUCCCGGUGUAGCGGUGAAAUGCGUAGAUAUCGGGAAGAACACCAGUGGCGAAGGCGCUCUGCUGGGCCAUAACUGACGCUCAUGGACGAAAGCCAGGGGAGCG